This 253-nucleotide ribosomal RNA is filed under the name uncultured prokaryote. RNAcentral's name for it is "partial 16S ribosomal RNA". It matches the Rfam family "Bacterial small subunit ribosomal RNA", at positions 525 to 777 of the family's 1533-position model. The record is from RNAcentral.
ACGUAGGGUGCAAGCGUUGUCCGGAAUUAUUGGGCGUAAAGAGCUCGUAGGCGGUCUGUCGCGUCUGCUGUGAAAACCUAGGGCUUAACCCUGGGCCUGCAGUGGGUACGGGCAGACUAGAGUGAUGUAGGGGAGACUGGAAUUCCUGGUGUAGCGGUGAAAUGCGCAGAUAUCAGGAGGAACACCGAUGGCGAAGGCAGGUCUCUGGGCAUUAACUGACGCUGAGGAGCGAAAGCAUGGGGAGCGAACAGGA